This is an RNA transcript of Nymphaea colorata (pocket water lily), 3871 nucleotides long. RefSeq lists it as uncharacterized. The record is from RefSeq and is a predicted model, not a curated record. Lineage: Eukaryota; Viridiplantae; Streptophyta; Magnoliopsida; Nymphaeales; Nymphaeaceae. The transcript has 7 exons.
UCGUUCUCACUUCUCUCUCUCUCAGACUCCGACUCUCCCUCUCUCGGUCUCUCCGACUUCUCCUUCUCUUCUCCAGUUCUCCGUCUGUGACUGCGUUUUUCCUAGUUCCGUCGUCCGCGGCCGUGGGACACUUCAGCCUUCAAGGUCAGCGACUCAGCCGGCUGCUCCGCCUUCAGCCGAAGGUUCCUGCCUGUGCCUGUGCUCUCCGCUCUUGCGUCUGCGUGUGCUCUCUGCUUCAGCCUUCUGGCGCUUCUCCCUUCAAGCUGACCAAGACGCUUUUCCCUCUCCGUCUCCUCGGACACAUCCGAAUGCCUCUCCCUGGUUCCCACGAAGAACCAGAUACACUUGUUGCGCUCUGCUCAUCUCUUUUGCAGCGUGAGCCUGGGAGUCCAGUUCUAUGGUGCAAUUUUCCUACUUAUCUGCUAUUUUCCUCCCAACCAGUUAGAUGGCAGCUCUGAGUAUUCUGCUUUGCCUUCAUCUGUGUUUUAUUUGCAGUGUAUCUUCUGAGCUUGGAACUACAUCUGAUAUGAAGGAACUGUCUGUUGGACUAGAAUUGCAUAAUGAAACUUUACCUUUACAAAUGGGUAGCCGCUAUUACAAGUUAAUUGGUCUGAAACCUCUACAUUGGUAUGAAGUGAAGAUAUCUUACCCUGCUUCUCAAGUUUUUCCAUUGAAUUGAAGAGGGGGAACUUUGAACAAGAACGUGCUUUUAGUCUCAGAAGAUUGCUUAACACUGAGAAGCUGAUUUUCAGAUCUGGAGGUCACAGUUUGGAGAACAAUGAAGACACAAGUGAGGGUGCUUUAGUGUAUGUUCAGCCGGAAGGUGUUGUUGCAAAGCCACAUCUAAAGGAUAUGUUUAACAUUGGUAAGGAAUUUACACGAUUAAUCAGCUGCCCUACCAUAGGUACUGAAUUAUUUCCUAAGUAUGGCAGAACACAAAUGGGUGCUAAAGGUAUAUUGUUACUGUCUCAGUCACUGCAACUGAUGACUUGAUCUUUGGCUUUUGUCAUUUGGCUGCCCACUCGAUUGAGCUCCUAAAUUUGUGAAGACCCUUUUUUCCAAUUGGCAAAGGGGAGUAGGCUGACCCUACCAGAUUAUGCCAAGAGAUACACUCGGGGCAUUGAAUUGUUGAGCUUCUUCAACUCGAAGGUCUUAAACUCAUACUUCUCAUGUUGGCGACUUAAUGCAGACUGUUGAUCUAUAUUUAUUAUCCCAAUAAAAGCAUUAUAUGAUUUGCCAUGAAUAAAUAUUGAUGAACAAAUUCAAUACAUACAAAGAGUUCAUCCUCUUCAAUUUACCUUUUUCUGUCUUGAAAGACGAAACAAAUGGUGGAUCUGGGUAAUUCCAAAUAAGUUCUUUUGUAUACUUACUAGUUUCAAUUUUUGUUCCCAAAUGCAGUAUGUGAUGAACUUUUACUUGGGAUUCCAUACAAGGCUUGGUGGGUUGGAAUUUUAGCAAUCCUUUGUAUCGCAUUUGUAUUUGUUCUUUCUUCUGUGCUUCCAUCACGUUUGCUCCACAAGGGUCAAAAGUCUGCAAGGCUGAAUGAGAUAUUAGCAUCAAAAGUGUCAUGAAGAAACUUUUUCAGAUCAUUGCUUUCCUCAUGAAGGUCCUUUGACUUCGUGUUGGAAUACAUAUCUAUUUUUUAUCUGCCAUUUCAAGUAGCACACAGCACUGGCAUGAUAUCCUAUAAUCCUACUGGAGAUUUUCUUAGCUAGUGACGAUGAUUAAAUAGGUGACAAUAUAACAAGCAGGUCUGUGAUUCCGUAGAAACCAUCAGAAGCAAAAGCAAAUGACAAUUUUUUCUGGUUUCUCUUCUAAUAGCUCAAACUACUAGCUAUGGGGCAAGGAAAACUUUCGGCUGAUUUUAUUUAUUUUAUUUUCUUUCCAGGGUGAAAAUGAAUGGUGACUGGGUUACUGCUACUCCGGACGUAUACCAAGUCGCUCUUGGCAUGGACGCAGAAUUUUUAAUCCUGGCAUCAGAUGGCCUCUGGGAUUACAUGAGCUGGUUUGCAAAAGUCAAACAUGUUGAACUCUUUUAGUCAUAUGAUUGUUUUGGUCACUAAUAUUUUCAUGUUGAUGCUUUCAGUUUAGAUGUUGUACGAUUUGUUAGAAAUCAACUUCGUCAGCAUGGUGAUGUUCAGGCAAAUAUUUUGGUGGUUCCCAUUUUCUGCUGAAAUAUUAAGCAAUGACUGACCUGCAUUUCAUUUUUCUUGCAGUCCGCUUGUGAAGCUAUGGCCCUUGCUGCCUUGGUACUUGACCAUACAUGUCUAGUAUUGAGUUCAUAUAAUGCAUAUGUUUCAUCCCUUUUCUCACUGGACAAAUGCUCAAUUAUGUUUUUCAGGAUCGAAAGUCACAGGACAAUGUAAGCAUUGUUAAAAUGGUCUCCUGGAUUUCAUAAAGCUUAUUACUGCAUGUUGUAUAACAUCAUCAUUCAGAAUAUCAGGCUUGGUCCGAUUGGCUAUAAAUAAGCAUAUGUACAUAAUGUCAUAAUUUAGAUAAUUGCAUGCCUUCUACCAUGCACGUUAAGCUACUAAUGCUUUUUUAUGUCAUUCUUGGUGAGUGAAGUAUGACUUCAUUGUAUUUGCAGAAGAACGAAUUGUCCGGCAAUGCCUCCUGAUCAAGAUCAAGUGAACAUCUUCAUUGAAUUCAGCCAAGCUUUUGCUAUUAUAGGGAUAGUAUCAUUGGGAAUCUGGUUGUCACAUCAGUUUGUUGCAUGAAGUUGCAGUCUUUAAGAUAUGGAUGUAGAUAACAUGCAAAGAUCCUCACAUCAUCUUUGUAAAUCAUUAUAUCCAUAGACAUUCUGAAUAUCAUGUGACAUCAUAUUCCAUUGAGCAAUCUUUGGAAAUGGCACUUGUGAACGUGUCAUGUAUUUUUCUUUCUACUUUUCUAUUGAAAAUCAAUUAGGCUAUUUUCUGCAAGAUUUCCACACAACCAGUAUUUAAAGUUCAUAUGCUUCUGUCACUUUCCAUUUGGAAGUGGUGGUAGUUAAUACUAUUUCAGUCACCAUUUUUUACUCUUAGGUGAACUAGUUGCUCCAUCUCAUUGCCAUUUGAUGUCUGAUGCAUCCACAUUGAAGCGUAUCUGAGAGUUUUUCCAAGUUCACAUUUCAAAGCUAUGUCAACAGAUAGUUUCACUUGGCUUUCACGUCCUGCAUUGACACUAAUUUUUUGGACACAGAAAUUCCUGAAAACACAGAAAAACUCAUUAUGUAUUAGUGGAUGAUGUAUGAUGACUUAUCAUUAGCACCAAGAAUUUGCACAUCCCUUUUCUAGUGCUUCUCCUGGCUGUUUGGUUUUUACCUGCAUCUGCGCCACUUAAAAAUUAGUGUAUUUGGAUAGCUAGUGUGCUUACACGAGCUUCAUUUGUUCAGACUUUUAUUUUAAUUCAAUAUUUUAAUGUAUAUAGGUAAAUUCAAGGAGGCAUUUGACAUCUUAUGCAAAAUGCAAAAUGCUGGGGUACAGCCUGACAAGGUUACUUGCAAUAUUCUUGUCCAUAAGUGUUCAAUAGCAAGGGAAAUGUUUGUUCUGAUUCUAACUCUUCAGUAUAUGAAAGAAAAUUCACUUGUUCUUCGUCGACCCAUGUAUUUGGAAGCAUUGGAGGCUUUGAGAAGCUGUGGUCAAAAUGAUGAACUGUUAAAUGAAGUCAAUCCCCAUUUCUGCCAUGAAGGCUUUGAUGAUUGUAGAUGUGAUCUUUCUCCAGACCCUCAGCAUUAUGCAGACAGGGGAGUUCUUGUAAACUUAUAAACUGUAAAUGGUUGCAUGGUAGAGUCGGAAAGCUUUCCCUUAAGAGUGUUAGUUCCAUUAUUUCAUCAAUCACUGAAGAUGACUUUGAUAUUGAUGCGUAGAACUUAUUCUUAUGUUGGUUACAGGUA